Molecule: ribosomal RNA, 532 nt
Filed under: uncultured bacterium
Lineage: Bacteria
Description: bacterial SSU rRNA
Rfam family: Bacterial small subunit ribosomal RNA
Source: RNAcentral
UGGGGAAUCUUGGACAAUGGGCGCAAGCCUGAUCCAGCCAUGCCGCGUGAGCGAUGAAGGCCUUAGGGUUGUAAAGCUCUUUCACCGGUGAAGAUAAUGACGGUAGCAGGUAAAGAAACCCCGGCUAACUCCGUGCCAGCAGCCGCGGUAAUACGGAGGGGGUUAGCGUUGUUCGGAAUUACUGGGCGUAAAGCGCACGUAGGCGGACCAGAAAGUUGGGGGUGAAAUCCCGGGGGCUCAACCCCGGAACUGCCUCCAAAACUAUUGGUCUAGAGUUCGAGAGAGGUGAGUGGAAUUCCAAGUGUAGAGGUGAAAUUCGUAGAUAUUCGGAGGAACACCAGUGGCGAAGGCGGCUCACUGGCUCGAUACUGACGCUGAGGUGCGAAAAGCGUGGGGGAGCAAAACAGGAUUAGAUACCCUGGUAGUCCACGCCCGUAAAACGAUGAGUGCUAGUCGUCGGCAGGCAUGCCUGUCGGUGACGCAGCUAACGCAUUAAGCACUCCGCCUGGGGAGUACGGCCGCAGGUUAAAAC